RNAcentral lists this ribosomal RNA (620 nucleotides) under uncultured Cercophora. Its description in RNAcentral is "eukaryotic LSU rRNA". It matches the Rfam family "Eukaryotic large subunit ribosomal RNA", at positions 1 to 648 of the family's 3401-position model. Lineage: Eukaryota; Fungi; Ascomycota; Sordariomycetes; Sordariales; Lasiosphaeriaceae. The record is from RNAcentral.
GACCUCGGAUCAGGUAGGAUUACCCGCUGAACUUAAGCAUAUCAAUAAGCGGAGGAAAAGAAACCAACAGGGAUUGCCCUAGUAACGGCGAGUGAAGCGGCAACAGCUCAAAUCUGAAAUCUGGCUUCGGCCCGAGUUGUAAUUUGUAGAGGAAGCUUUUGGCGCGGCACCUACUGAGUCCCCUGGAACGGGGCGCCAUAGAGGGUGAGAGCCCCGUAUAGUGGGAUGCCUAGCCUGUGUAAAGCUCCUUCGACGAGUCGAGUAGUUUGGGAAUGCUGCUCAAAAUGGGAGGUAAAUUUCUUCUAAAGCUAAAUAUUGGCCAGAGACCGAUAGCGCACAAGUAGAGUGAUCGAAAGAUGAAAAGCACUUUGAAAAGAGGGUUAAACAGCACGUGAAAUUGUUGAAAGGGAAGCGCUUGUGACCAGACUUGCGCCUGGCUGAUCAUCCGGUGUUCUCACCGGUGCACUCUGCCAGGCUCAGGCCAGCAUCGGUUUUCGCGGGGGGAUAAAGGCCCAGGGAACGUAGCUCCUCCGGGAGUGUUAUAGCCCUGGGUGUCACACCCUCGUGGGGACCGAGGUUCGCGCAUCUGCAAGGAUGCUGGCGUAAUGGUCAUCAGCGAC